UACGUAGGCAGCAAGCGUUGUUCGGAGUUACUGGGCGUAAAGGGUGCGUAGGCGGCUUUUUUAAGUUGGUGUGAAAUCUCCCGGCUCAACUGGGAGGGUGCGCCGAAUACUGAAUGACUAGAGUGCGGGAGAGGAGAGUGGAAUUCCCGGUGUAGCAGUGAAAUGCGUAGAGAUCGGGAGGAGCAUCAGUUGCGGAAGGCGGCUCUCUGGACCAGCACUGACACUGAGGCACGAAAGCGUGGGGAGCAAACAGGA
Molecule: ribosomal RNA, 255 nt
Filed under: uncultured bacterium
Lineage: Bacteria
Description: partial 16S ribosomal RNA
Rfam family: Bacterial small subunit ribosomal RNA
Source: RNAcentral